CCUUCCACCACUUGGUAAAUCUCCUCCACUGCAUCGGAGUUGUUUUUAGCAGUAUCGAGUUUCUCCUUUUUUAAUUGACGAGAAGAGAGAUUUGAUUGGAAGUUUUUUGAACUUCUUUCGGUCGAUUAUGUUUAUGAUUAUGUUUGUGAAGAUAGAGAACAUUUGUUUGAUGAGUAAGAAUUGAUUGAGAUGGAAAAAGGAUGAGAUUGGUUAGACAAGAAAAGAGCGUGAGAUCCGUGCUAAUGGGGGAGAAUACUUGGACACAUGAAGGCUUGAUGUAACUAUCCUAAUAUUAUCGGUGUAAUUCAACCGAGAACCUUCUUGGACUCACGAGUGUUGAAUGGAACUAUAUUAAUAUUAUCCGGGUGAGAUAAAUUUUUUGAAACGUCUUGGUACAUACUAAUCAUUCAUAUUAGAUAUCUACACAAAACUCACGCCCUUUUAGAUAUCAUUUAUCAUUAUUUAUCAAAUAUGCAAAUUCAAAAGUCAUUUUGAAUAGUUAGGCAAUUUAUGCAAUGUGCUUCAAAAGAAAAGGGGAAUGGAAAGCUUGAGUAAAGUCUUUAAAUGAUGGAAUUGCUUUUCUUUUCCAGAAAUAAAAUACAAUUUAUGAUAAUUAUACCUUAUAUUGUUAUAUGUAUUGCAAGGUGCCAAUAUGAAAGUUCUCUUGAUUAUCAAGAUAAUUACACAAUGUUGGAAGUAUGUUGCAUUAUUAUUUUUUGAAAGGAAAGUAAUUUGCAUUAUAUUUAUCAAGAAUUGAUAAUCUCGUAAAAAAGAAUUGAUAAUCUCAUAUUAUA
Long non-coding RNA from Medicago truncatula (barrel medic), 794 nucleotides. RefSeq lists it as uncharacterized. The record is from RefSeq and is a predicted model, not a curated record. NCBI's taxonomy places the organism in Eukaryota, Viridiplantae, Streptophyta, Magnoliopsida, Fabales, Fabaceae. The transcript is spliced from 3 exons.